GACAGAGGGUGCAAACGUUAUUCGGAUUUACUGGGCGUAAAGCGUGUGUAGGCGGCUUCGCAAGUUGGAUGUGAAAUCCCACGGCUCAACCGUGGACGUGCAUCCAAAACUGCGUCGCUAGAGUCUCGGAGAGGAAGGUGGAAUGCUUGGUGUAGAGGUGAAAUUCGUAGAUAUCAAGCAGAACACCUGCGGCGAAGGCGGCCUUCUGGACGAUGACUGACGCUGAGACACGAAAGCGUGGGGAGCAAACAGG
This 253-nucleotide ribosomal RNA is filed under the name uncultured bacterium. RNAcentral describes it as "partial 16S ribosomal RNA". It matches the Rfam family "Bacterial small subunit ribosomal RNA", at positions 524 to 776 of the family's 1533-position model. The record is from RNAcentral.